RNAcentral lists this long non-coding RNA (227 nucleotides) under Volvox carteri. Its description in RNAcentral is "long non-coding RNA (VCAR_LNC000716)". Lineage: Eukaryota; Viridiplantae; Chlorophyta; Chlorophyceae; Chlamydomonadales; Volvocaceae. The record is from RNAcentral.
CAGGUUUCCGUUUCCGCACGCUUCGAUAUCGGCUAGAUCCCUGGGUUAUGCGGUCAACCCUGUUAGAAAUCCUGCGACCGGCUUGCUGUAAUAAAUUUUCCUUCGCGCGCAGUCCAACAUCGGCUUAAACUAUGUUUUGGCGUGUAUAAGCAAGGGACACUUUGACCUUACAGUUACACCACCAUCCAUGAGCCACCUCACGCUAGCAUUGGGCGGCGGAUGUUUGG